This 253-nucleotide ribosomal RNA is filed under the name uncultured bacterium. Its description in RNAcentral is "partial 16S ribosomal RNA". It matches the Rfam family "Bacterial small subunit ribosomal RNA", at positions 524 to 776 of the family's 1533-position model. The record is from RNAcentral.
UACGGAGGGUGCGAGCGUUGUCCGGAAUCAUUGGGCGUAAAGGGCGCGUAGGUGGCGGGACAAGCGUGCGGUGAAAGCCCGGGGCUCAACCCCGGAAUUGCCUUUGAGACUGCAUAGCUUGAACACGGGAGAGGUGAGUGGAAUUCCGAGUGUAGAGGUGAAAUUCGUAGAUAUUCGGAAGAACACCAGUGGCGAAGGCGGCUCACUGGACCGUUGUUGACGCUGAGGUGCGAAAGCGUGGGGAGCAAACAGG